This 71-nucleotide transfer RNA is filed under the name Fukomys damarensis (Damara mole-rat). It matches the Rfam family "tRNA". Rfam says of the family: Transfer RNA (tRNA) molecules are approximately 80 nucleotides in length. Lineage: Eukaryota; Metazoa; Chordata; Mammalia; Rodentia; Bathyergidae. The record is from Rfam by way of RNAcentral.
GGGGAUGUAACUCAUUGGUAGAGUACUUGCCUGGCAUGCGUGCAUAUGUGAGAUCCUGGGUUCCAUCCCCA